GCGGUGGAUGAUGUGGAUUAAUUCGAUGCAACGCGAAGAACCUUACCUACCCUUGACAUGUCCGGAACUUGCCAGAGAUGGCUUGGUGCCCGAAAGGGAAUCGGAACACAGGUGCUGCAUGGCUGUCGUCAGCUCGUGUCGUGAGAUGUUGGGUUAAGUCCCGCAACGAGCGCAACCCUUACCAUUAGUUGCUACGCAAGGGCACUCUAAUGGGACUGCCGGUGACAAACCGGAGGAAGGUGGGGAUGACGUCAAGUCCUCAUGGCCCUUAUGGGUAGGGCUUCACACGUCAUACAAUGGUCGGUACAGAGGGUUGCCAAGCCGCGAGGCGGAGCGAAUCCCAGAAAGCCGGUCUCAGUUCGGAUUGGGGUCUGCAACUCGACCCCAUGAAGUCGGAGUCGCUAGUAAUCGCAGAUCAGCAACGCUGCGGUCGAAUACGUUCCCGGGCCUU
This 451-nucleotide ribosomal RNA is filed under the name uncultured Thiobacillus sp. RNAcentral's name for it is "bacterial SSU rRNA". It matches the Rfam family "Bacterial small subunit ribosomal RNA", at positions 929 to 1382 of the family's 1533-position model. Lineage: Bacteria; Pseudomonadati; Pseudomonadota; Betaproteobacteria; Nitrosomonadales; Thiobacillaceae. The record is from RNAcentral.